CAAAAGCGACGGCAGAAAAAUACGGCGCGUCGGCAUUCUCGCCAGUGUGCGCUGUCAGACUUGCUGCGCCAGCGAGGAACCAUGAUUGAUGGCGGGGCCGCGUCGUCACGUGGACGCACAGGGAUGCGCGGCGAGCAUUUGUCAUCGUGACGUUUAUGGGCGCCGUCCCCCGCUAUUGUCUUCAUAAAUCGCCCUCUCCCUUGCUGUGAGUCUCACGUAUCCACUGCUUCGGAUUAAAACCCUGCAGCAUCUGCGGGGAUGGGAGGCGACAGAGAACUAGCUGCGUGCUCAAGCGGCUACCCGACAGAAGUCCCCCUGAUUUCAAUGAAGACAAAUCCGCGGCGACAAGCGACUUUCGCCGACGGCUCAGGAAGCAAUUCAGAACUUCAGGCGACAUUUGAGAAACUGGUAAUCCCACGGCAGAGCGUUGGGUGGAAGGAAGCAAGCCGCAACGGCGCAACAAUAACAGUGGAGCAAGGUUUGUCAGCCCAACAUGACAUCAUGCUCGGCGAGCUGGUCGACGGUCUUCAAUUUACCUGAAGUGCAACGGCGUGCUUCUCAGAGACUUCACGUGUGCAUGUGACGUACUUCACUUGAAUCAUCUUGAUGGUGGUUUUGGGCAGCCUUAUGCAUUCGUAUGUGCAAGAAAAUUAUUCGCUCAUGCGAUGGCAUUUACCGGAUCACCGUCUCGAAUUCUUACUAGAUUUUUUUUGCUAAAUACUGCGCACCGUGGCGCAUCCGUACUUUUCAGCCGGCGUGUCUAAGAUAUAAAAUAAAGCUUUUUGUGUGCGUGUGUGGAAUUGUUCAUCUGCAUACUUUUGCUCAACGCUGUACAUUUGUGCAUGCUUGAUCAACACUUACCUUAU
Dermacentor andersoni is the source of this 866-nucleotide long non-coding RNA. RefSeq lists it as uncharacterized. The record is from RefSeq and is a predicted model, not a curated record. NCBI's taxonomy places the organism in Eukaryota, Metazoa, Arthropoda, Arachnida, Ixodida, Ixodidae.